Leopardus geoffroyi (Geoffroy's cat) is the source of this 415-nucleotide long non-coding RNA. RefSeq lists it as uncharacterized. The record is from RefSeq and is a predicted model, not a curated record. The transcript has 2 exons. Lineage: Eukaryota; Metazoa; Chordata; Mammalia; Carnivora; Felidae.
GCUUGGAAUUGUUACCUGGAAGUUUAAAGCCGAAGAAUAAAUAGAAUAAACGGCUCGCGGCAGAGCAUGUUGGUUUUAGACAAGCCUGGCAAGACAGUCCAAAAAUAAGAGCAAUGCUCUAGUCAGCUGCUGUGUCUUCCUCUCUUCCUCAAAGAAGUGACCUCGCUGGGGUCCAUUACCUGUCUAUUCGCUAGCCCUCUGCUAUCCAGGUGCCUGGAAUACAGAUGUGAUGGCUGGCGCGGACGCUGCUAGCUUGGAUUAUGAAGAUGAGAUGGGGGAAUAGUGAUCUGGAUUGAAACCUGAGUCCUCAAGAACUAGUGAUACAAAGCUACUAUGUCGGCCGUGAGCAGUCCACCCCCACACUUCUACAAAAGGGAAAAAUAAACUUUCAUUGUGUUUGGAGUCUGUAUUAUCA